UGGGGAAUAUUGGACAAUGGGCGCAAGCCUGAUCCAGCCAUGCCGCGUGAGUGAUGAAGGCCCUAGGGUUGUAAAGCUCUUUCGCCAGGGACGAUAAUGACGGUACCUGGAUAAGAAGCCCCGGCUAACUUCGUGCCAGCAGCCGCGGUAAUACGAAGGGGGCUAGCGUUGUUCGGAAUCACUGGGCGUAAAGCGCACGUAGGCGGAUCUUUAAGUCAGGGGUGAAAUCCCGAGGCUCAAACCUCGGAACUGCCUUUGAUACUGGAAGUCUCGAGUCCGGGAGAGGUGAGUGGAACUGCGAGUGUAGAGGUGAAAUUCAGUAGAUAUUCGCAAGAACACCAGUGGCGAAGGCGGCUCACUGGCCCGGUACUGACGCUGAGGUGCGAAAAGCGUGGGGAGCAAAACAGGAUUAGAUACCCUGGUAGUCCACGCCGUAAAACUAUGGAUGCUAGCCGUUGGGCAGCUUGCUGUUCAGUGGCGCAGCUAACGCUUUAAGCAUCCCGCCUGGGGGAGUACGGUCGCAAGAUUAAAAACUCAAAUGAAUUGACGGGGUCAUAGCUGUUUCCU
This 567-nucleotide ribosomal RNA is filed under the name uncultured bacterium. Its description in RNAcentral is "partial 16S ribosomal RNA". It matches the Rfam family "Bacterial small subunit ribosomal RNA", at positions 355 to 1375 of the family's 1533-position model. The record is from RNAcentral.